ACGAACGCUGGCGGCGCGUCUUAAACAUGCAAGUCGAACGGCAAAAGAGGGGCUUGCCCCUUUUUGAGAGUGGCGGAUGGUGAGUACACGUGGGUGACAUACCUUUUAGUUGGGGAUAGCUAUUAGAAAUAGUAGGUAAUCCGAAUGUGCCGUAUUUAUUAGAAGGAUCGAGGAAAGGAGUAAGGCUUCGCUAAAAGAAUGGCUCGCGGCCCAUUAUGUAGUUGGUGAGGUAAUGGCCCACCAAGGCGAUGAUGGGUAUCCGGCCUGAGAGGGUGAACGACACAUUGGGAUGAGAUACGGCCCAGACUUUACGGGAGGCGCAGUUAAGAAUAUUCCGCAAUGGACGAAAGUCUGACGGACCGCCGCGUGGAUGAAGAAUGCCGAAAGGUUGUAAAAUCCUUUUAAGCUGAUGAAUAAGCACAGUAGGGAAUGAUUGUGCGGUGACCGUAGGGC
Molecule: ribosomal RNA, 453 nt
Filed under: Treponema maltophilum
Lineage: Bacteria; Pseudomonadati; Spirochaetota; Spirochaetia; Treponematales; Treponemataceae
Description: bacterial SSU rRNA
Rfam family: Bacterial small subunit ribosomal RNA
Source: RNAcentral